Molecule: long non-coding RNA, 548 nt
Filed under: Homo sapiens (human)
Lineage: Eukaryota; Metazoa; Chordata; Mammalia; Primates; Hominidae
Description: HSALNT0278901
Source: RNAcentral
CUACAAAGGAGGACACCAAGGAAAGUUCUAAUUGGGACAAGCCUCUGGAGCUGCCUAGUGUGGGUGUCUGCUGGAAACUUCUAAAAUGUCUCGGCCUAUUUAAUUGGAGAAUUCACUGAAGAAUUAAAGGACUCAGUAAAGAAGAGGUUUGGUUUGUUCAUGAAAGUAAGUAGCUUGUGAAAUGCUUUAUUUUCCUGUGACUAAAAUUCCACCUUGUAAUUCCCAAUAAGGAUUGCUUCAAGCUAUUUAAUACAAAUUAAACCUGUUUCACCAUGCUCAUAGGAAAAUGUCAAAGUAUCUUCAUUCACCAACUGAGGGCUGGCUCUUCUUUGAAGGUAGCUCUGAGAUUUGUUUUGUAAUGGAGACAAAGACUUAUUUAACUGUUGGGGAGGGGGAAGGAGGACUUAGGCCAGGCAGGCGGGGAUGUGGGGGACGAACCAUGAGGGGCAAUUUGGCUGCCUCUGAAAAGGUCCAGAGCUACCUUAAAAGACAGGCUUUCUAUAACAAGUGGUCCUUUCUUUUCCUUUCUUUUUUUUUUUGAGACAGAG